RNAcentral lists this ribosomal RNA (374 nucleotides) under uncultured bacterium. Its description in RNAcentral is "bacterial SSU rRNA". It matches the Rfam family "Bacterial small subunit ribosomal RNA", at positions 858 to 1233 of the family's 1533-position model. The record is from RNAcentral.
CAUUAAGUAUCCCACCUGGGGAGUACGCCGGCAACGGUGAAACUCAAAGGAAUUGACGGGGCCCGGCACAAGCGGAGGAACAUGUGGUUUAAUUUCGAUGAUACGCGAGGAACCUUACCCGGGCUUAAAUUGCAGACGAAUUACUUGGAAACAGGUAAGCCGCAAGGCGUCUGUGAAGGUGCUGCAUGGUUGUCGUCAGCUCGUGCCGUGAGGUGUCGGCUUAAGUGCCAUAACGAGCGCAACCCUCGUGGUCAGUUACUAACAGGUUAAGCUGAGGACUCUGGCCAGACUGCCAUCGUAAGAUGUGAGGAAGGUGGGGAUGACGUCAAAUCAGCACGGCCCUUACGUCCGGGGCUACACACGUACUACAAUGG